CAGCAUGUCUCCAAGGGCUGAGGCUGCUUGUAGCCGUGGGAUCUCUGUUGGCAUGAGGGAGGCCGCCCGCCCGGAGAGACCCCGACAGCUCAGGGCAGCGCAGUGCCUGCAGAGGCCGCUCGCCUUCCCUGCGCUC
Molecule: small nucleolar RNA, 136 nt
Organism: Phyllostomus discolor (pale spear-nosed bat)
Lineage: Eukaryota; Metazoa; Chordata; Mammalia; Chiroptera; Phyllostomidae
Product: small nucleolar RNA SNORA44
Exons: 1
Source: RefSeq, a predicted model, not a curated record